Molecule: ribosomal RNA, 806 nt
Filed under: uncultured bacterium
Lineage: Bacteria
Description: bacterial SSU rRNA
Rfam family: Bacterial small subunit ribosomal RNA
Source: RNAcentral
AGAGUUUGAUCAUGGCUCAGAACGAACGCUGGCGGCGUGCCUAACACAUGCAAGUCGAGCGCGAAUGGAGCAAUCCUAGUAGAGCGGCGCACGGGUGCGUAACACGUGGGUAAUCUGCCUGGAAGCCCGGAACAACCUGCCGAAAGGCUGGCUAAUACCGGAUAAGCCUACGGCCCCUUCGGGGACUGAAGGAAAAGGAGGCCUCUGUAUACAAGCUUUCACUACCAGAUGAGCCCGCGGCCCAUCAGCUAGUUGGCGGGGUAAUGGCCCACCAAGGCAACGACGGGUAGCUGGUCUGAGAGGACGAUCAGCCACACUGGAACUGAGACACGGUCCAGACUCCUACGGGAGGCAGCAGUGGGGAAUUUUGCGCAAUGGGCGAAAGCCUGACGCAGCAACGCCGCGUGUGUGAUGAAGGUCUUCGGAUUGUAAAGCACUUUCGACCGGGACGAACACCCUCUGGCUAACACCCAGGGGCCUGACGGUACCGGGAGAAGAAGCACCGGCUAACUCUGUGCCAGCAGCCGCGGUAAUACAGAGGGUGCAAGCGUUGUUCGGAAUUAUUGGGCGUAAAGCGCGUGUAGGCGGCCUUGCAAGUCGGGUGUGAAAGCCCUCAGCUCAACUGAGGAAGUGCGCCCGAAACUGCAGAGCUUGAGUGCCGGAGAGGAGGGUGGAAUUCUCGAAGUAGAGGUGAAAUUCGUAGAUAUCGGGAGGAACACCGGUGGCGAAGGCGACCCUCUGGACGGACACUGACGCUGAGACGCGAAAGCGUGGGUAGCAAACAGGAUUAGAUACCCUUGUAGUCC